RNAcentral lists this ribosomal RNA (1560 nucleotides) under Triticum aestivum (bread wheat). RNAcentral describes it as "partial small subunit ribosomal RNA". The record is from RNAcentral. Lineage: Eukaryota; Viridiplantae; Streptophyta; Magnoliopsida; Poales; Poaceae.
AUGGCCGGCGGGGAGGAGAGGCCGCCGGGGCUGGCGCCAGGGGUUGCGUCGAGUUUCGAGUUUGCGCUCAAUUCCGCGGCGUUUUCCGAUCGAGUUCUGCGCCUCGAGAUAGCGGCCGAGGAUUGCGAGGCGCCGUUCGUCGGCGAAGGAUCGCCCUGCGACUCGCCGCGUAGCAUAUUCGAGACGGGGCUCGGCUUGGGAGGUACCUCGGCCAAGUCGGUGCGACCUCGCAAGCGCCGCAGACAAGACGACGAAUCUGCACCUCGCAGCUCUGAGGUUGAAUCAGAUGGAAAUAAUUUAGCUGUCAUUGGUGAACAUGGUGAUUCCACUGGCAGACCUGUUUUAAGAGUAAAGCAUAUUCACGUCAGCUCCCUGCUACUCGCUUCUAAAAGCCCGUACUUUUACAAGCUCUUCUCGAACGGAAUGCAAGAAUCAAACCUCAAGGAAAUAACACUAAGGAUUAUGGACUAUGAGGAUGAAGCCUUCCCAGAGCUUUUGCACUUCAUUUACAGUGGAACAAUUAAGACAAGCGAUCCUGUCCUGGUUCUCAAAGUUAUGUGUGUUGCUGAUAGAUUUGAGGUUGUCGAUUGCAUGAGCUAUUGUACCCAGCUGUUGAUUAGUCUACCCAUGACAAAAGAAUUAGCUUUUGUGUAUCUUGAAUAUGAGUGCUCAGUCCCAAUGUCAGAUGUCCUUCAGCCUGUGAAAGCAGCAGCCCAGGAAUUUCUGGCUGACAAGUACAAAAACCUGUCAAUGUCUGAAACUGAGUUUCUGGAAAUGCCACUAUCAGGAAUUAAAGCUAUAUUCUCAAGCAACAACUUGAAGGUUUUUUCAGAGGACUUGGUCUUGGCUUUUCUGCUCAAGUGGGCUCUUGCCAAUUACCCAGAAACAGUAGAAAGGCGUAGGAUCUUGAUCAACCAUUUGCUUCCAAUGGUGCGUUUCAAUCAGAUGAGUUGUGGAAAAUUGCGAUGGCUUUUGUCUUGUUCGCAUUUGGACGCUCGUCAUUCUGCAUAUAUUGUGGCUUCAGCUCUUCUGUACAAGUACAGUUCACCACACAGAGUCCUUCCUGCCAUAUCAGAUAUCCAUUGCAGUUUUUUGGAGCGGACAUACAAGCACAAACCAGUGAAGACCAUUGAAUUGGAGCGUCCCCAUAACCGAUGUAUUGCUUAUAUGGAUCUCAAAUCUGAGGAGUGCAGCAAUCUCUCUCCAUCCAGAAGUAUCAGGUCACAAGCAUUCGACUUUGCAGGGCACUCCUUUUUCCUCAUUGUACAGCGCACUGUUAAUGCUCAACUGGGGAUUCACUGUUUCGGACUGUAUUUGGCAGUCGAAAAAGGAGUAUCAGUGCCAAUAACCAUAGAGUUCGAAUUUGCAGCGAGAACAAAAGCUGUUGGUGACUUUGUGUCUAACUUCAGACAUAUCAAGACAUUCACCAGCGAAAGUAAUCAACUAGGAUCCCGAGAUCUCUUUAACAUGUCCUGGGGUCAGGUCUUUUCUGAAGCAAGUCAAUUUUUACUUGAUGACAUGUUAUAUCUUCGAGCUGAGCUGACUGUAAGGCAACCUUAG